UCCGACAUUUGCGGCCCCGAUGAAAUUCUCAGAAAAUAUAUAAUAAUGAGGGCGUGGAACUUGUCCAACCCAGGCCGAAGGUUUCUUCAAAAAACAUGUGGGUUCGAAGAAACGGAUUCGAGUUCACUCAAACGACUUCACCAGACCAACGUCGCAACGACUUCGAUUCGAUGAGAAAAAACGACGUUGAAUUUUGUAUGGAAAAAACGACUUCGUUUCGAGUUCACACAAACGACUUCACCAGAGCGACGUCGCAACGACGUCGUCUUCGCCCUAUGGCAAAUUGGGUUGAAACUUGCGCAGCGGCAUUUUCGUGGUUGCGCAUGUGUUGGUGCGCUGCAGCAGAACUGUCACUUUAAUGCGGGGUAGAAGCUGGAGCAACUUUUUGAGAAACUUUACCUCACCUCUCUUGCCUUCAGACUGAGUUGUUCUCUUGGCAGAAAUGUUCCUGUGUAAAACCGACCUAUCGUAACUCAUACUUACAUACAUAUGUACUUGUUAAGCUUAAAACUUUGUGGUAGGAUAUUCAUUUCAUAAAUAAUCCAUUCAAUAUAAUAAAUUUUGUUGUUGUAUUACCUUCGACAUUUUCCCAAUAAGUGGAAUUCGAAAAAACUUUUUUUGUAUAUCAUAUGUUUAUUAUAUAUAUAUAUUUUAGGUAUAUAUUUGCAAUAAUCUUUAUAUAGAUUUAAUAUUUUUUAUCUUGCAUUAUCUAUGCUAUAUUUAUAAUAAUAAACAAGUAAUUAUUCAUAUUCAUCAUAAAUUGCAUUUUUUUUUUGUUUUUUUUUUUACACUUCGCCUUCAGUGUACCACCAUUUCUACAUGUAUGUAUAUAGUAAUAAUUGUUUACAAUACACCUCAUACCAUUAUUAAAUAAUGCACAUAGUUUAAUUUUAUUUAUUUUUUUCGUUUUCGUCUCACAUACAUAUAAGUUUCAACAUUGGUUUUUUUUUAUCGUCAUCAUAUUCAACAGCUGUAAGUAUAAGUAUAAUUUUCCAGUGCACCGCUCUGGACAUGGAAUUUCUCGUUUGUCUGCAGUAAGCAAAGUCCUUAUAUGUAUGUAUGUAUAUGUAUGCCUUUUUGCGUCAAUACUUUUUACUUUAUUAUUUAUUAUGCCAAGCAUCACAAACACCAAACAUUUAUUUAUUAAAAAAAUAUAUGUAUAACUCCUACACUUCAUUCCUGUAAAAUUGAAAUUUGUUAGAUAUUUCAUUCCUCUUUUCCAGCCUUCUAGUUUAGUGGCAUCAUCAUUCCUUAGGGGAAAAUGGAAUUCGCUAUUAUGUAUUUGUUUUCCACUAAAUCGACUUCCACUUUGCUUGCGUUGUGCUAUAUAAAUAUGUAUGUAUGUAUGUGUAUAUGUGUAUUACAUAGUAUAAUUGAGAAUAAAAAAA
Long non-coding RNA from Rhagoletis pomonella (apple maggot), 1388 nucleotides. RefSeq lists it as uncharacterized. NCBI's taxonomy places the organism in Eukaryota, Metazoa, Arthropoda, Insecta, Diptera, Tephritidae. The record is from RefSeq and is a predicted model, not a curated record. The transcript has 2 exons.